ACACGUCUACAUUAGAUACCCGUGUAGUCCCAGCCGUAAACUAUGCGCGUUAGGUGUAUCGGUGACCACGAGUCACCGAGGUGCCGAAGGGAAACCGUGAAACGUGCCGCCUGGGAAGUACGGUCGCAAGGCUGAAACUUAAAGGAAUUGGCGGGGAGCACCACAACGGGUGGAGCCUGCGGUUUAAUUGGACUCAACGCCGGGAAGCUCACCGGAUAAGACAGCGGAAUGAUUGCCGGGCUGAAGACUCUGCAUGACUCGCUG
RNAcentral lists this ribosomal RNA (264 nucleotides) under uncultured archaeon. RNAcentral describes it as "partial 16S ribosomal RNA". It matches the Rfam family "Archaeal small subunit ribosomal RNA", at positions 722 to 982 of the family's 1478-position model. The record is from RNAcentral.